Molecule: long non-coding RNA, 486 nt
Organism: Ornithodoros turicata
Lineage: Eukaryota; Metazoa; Arthropoda; Arachnida; Ixodida; Argasidae
Exons: 2
Source: RefSeq, a predicted model, not a curated record
AUGUCAGGGAGGGACGUUGCUCCAGGCCACCGGGUGUAACAGCCGAUGACAGUGUGUCGACACGUGGAUGACGAUGAAGACGUGCCUCUGCUGCUGCGUGCCACUGCACCUGGCAGCCAGUUCUACCGGCACCGUACCAGCGUGGGGCCACGUCCAUCUGGCCGCUGGGACAUUCCAUCAUCGCCGGUCAGGACUCAUGUAGAGGAACACCACCUCCUCUACAACAACAAUUUGCCUUUCGCCAUAUUUCAAGUGAUUUCGACGGCAGAUAUACGACGUCGUUGUUGUCCAAACCGAAACCAUGCAACCACAUGGUCCCACGGGGUGUGUACUCCUCCUCGUCGUUCACAGUUGGCUGAGAGAAUUGAAUGCCGAUGACGUAAGCCCGCUUCGAAGGCAUAUAUCCAGCGGUCACGCCCUGCUAUUGUUGUCUGAUAACUGCGCCACCGUUGUACUGAAUACGAUUAAAUGUCAAUGUGUGUACGA